ACGUCAUUUAGCGACUUUCAGGACAGCCAAAAGCUACUUUCCCCAAGGAGCGGCAGCUUCAAAGCUGCGCGCGAGGGAUCGAACUCAGUCUCGUGCUGUGAUUGGCUGUCUCCCUUUAGGCGGUAUUGGUGUCAGCGCAGGUGCUUCGUUUGCUGAUGAAGUUCAUCCGUCUUCAUGUUUCUCAUGAAGAACAACAUUCAGGGCAUAUUCACGUUUUGUUUAUCAACGCAGCUGUUCGUUACUCGCUGUUUUUACGGCCGUGCUGCUAGUGCUAACGUUACUGUUAGCUAGCGUCAACUAAACAGAGAGACGAUUCUUCUUCACCUGCUCACCAGAUAAACCGCAGACGACCACGGCGUCACUUGCAACAGACGGUGACCGCAGAGAGCGAUCGUAAAAGAAGCUGAGGAAAAUAUGCUGCGUGUGGCAUGACACCAACGCAGGCUCUGACGGUGCUCCUCUGAGUGACUAAUGCCCUUAUUAAUGGGACGGGACUCACCCCGAUCAGCAUUGGCUGCUGUGACUGGCAGCUUGAACGGUGCCCGGUCUGCAGCGCGGGCGCUUCUUGGGUGACGGAGGGCUCAGACGAGGCCACGACGGGCGGAGACGAGAAGCGGUUGAGGGAAAUCCCACAGGGGCUCAAUGAAUGACCAGAAAACAGAAGCUUCACAUCUACACACAAAUAUGGCAGUAAUACAAAGCUGCAGCUGUGAGAUUUCCCAUAAUGCCGUUCGACGUUGACUCUCCUCUCGGUUUUUCUCUGGUGUGUUUGCACUUGAAGCCAUUUCUGUGUGUUUCCUGCCCCUCUUCACCUCGAUCCCACCACGCUGACACUGAGAUAAAAGGACUGCAACUAGAUACGCAAUGUUGAAGACCGUGUAAAAUGCGUAACACAUGGUCUGUUAAUGCUGGGUCGCUGUUCAGGAGAUCAAUGUUCCCAGGACAACAGGACGUCUGUCAACCAGUGUUUAAAGCACUUCUCUGCCCUAAUUUGUUUGCAUCAGUGACUGACAUUGGAAUUAAGAUCACUAAUGUGCUGUGAACACCUUCCAUUGGUCUGUUUUUUUUUGCCAUAGUAAAAAAAUAAGCAUCUUCUCAGUUAAUCCACACAAAUCUCUCUGCUUAAAAAACUUUGUUAUUUAAUGGAUUAGAAACUGGGAAACAGCGAGCAGCAAAUCAAACCUGAACCAAGCUAAACCAAUGGAUACAUUUAAUAAAUAAAAACAAUAUAAAUCAAAUUGUUUUAAGUACAAGUAACACAGAAUAGAAAUACUACCCACUACUGUAUUGCACACAUGACUAAUUGGAUGAACUGACAGAUUAAAAUUUUAAUUAAUAUUUUAAUUACAAAAACAUCCUUAGAUGCAAAACAGUGAGAAAAUGAAGAUGUGACGUUUGUGGAGCAGCGUCUCCACCGUCUGUGGUGUAGCUGCUGCGUUCGCCCAGAAGAGGGCGCUCCGUCGCUGUUUAUCCUCCGGCUCUAACAGGGCUUCCUUCUCUGCCUCAGCAGCCGACAAGAGCCCUCAGUGUGACAAGUUUACAUAGACCAUCUGCAGAUCUCCCUGCUGCCAUAAAAACACUAAUCACAAGGUCAUAAAACGCGACUCCAUAUAACGUCAGCAUGAACACAGCGAAGGCCCUCGACGUGGAGGCCGCAGCUCAACAUGAAUGUGGUUAUUGAUUUAGUUACAGUAGUAAAUCCGCUUUAAACAGGCAUCUUUGAAAAGUGGCAGAGAGACGUAAGUAUUUAGGAAGGUUUGACCCAAGUGGGCGUGGCAUCAGCUAUUUAUAAAUCCAAUUAGCAACAGUCUGACACACAAGCCGGGCGUUGACCAGGAGCUAAAGAACCGAGUCCCUGCAGCAUCACACACUGAGCGGUAGCUUCAUCUCCAAAAGUAACUUCAAGUUUUUUCACAGAACAAUUAGUUUGGAUUUCAAUUGCGGAUUAAAAAAUGUCGUCAAAACAUUUCCUGUAGAUAAACAAACCCAACAUGACGUCUAUAGGUGAUUUUUAAUGUUAGGACAAAAAACCAAAGGACAGCUGUUCGUCCAAGAAGCUGAUUAGAUAAAGGAAUGGAUUCUCUGAUGAUCCGUGUGUUGAUUGAUGCUGUAGAUCAGCUUUUUUCUGUGAUGACUGUGAAAAUGAAGCAUGAAUGUGUUUUAUUUUACAGUGACACCCGCUGAAAGUGGGUGUAAAUAUUGCUUAUAAGUUAAUUAGGAACCAAAUUUAUAUCUACUUCAGACUUUUAAUUUGUAGUGCAACAGGAUGUUUGUUGUCUUUCCUAAAUAUUAUUUUAACAAGCAAAAUGGAAUUAGAAAUAAAUAUUUCUUGGUCAUUUACAAAAGCCUGACCUCAUUUUCUGCCCAUAUGGUCGACCUCCUGCUUCUUCGGAG
Long non-coding RNA from Betta splendens (Siamese fighting fish), 2394 nucleotides. RefSeq lists it as uncharacterized. The transcript has 3 exons. The record is from RefSeq and is a predicted model, not a curated record. NCBI's taxonomy places the organism in Eukaryota, Metazoa, Chordata, Actinopteri, Anabantiformes, Osphronemidae.